GGGAGCUGUAUGAGCGGUAACGUCCACGUACGGCUCCGUGAGAAGGGCGGUGGAAUAAAAACCUUGUUGUACCUCAC
This is a non-coding RNA of Vitis vinifera (wine grape), 77 nucleotides long. The record is from Rfam. Lineage: Eukaryota; Viridiplantae; Streptophyta; Magnoliopsida; Vitales; Vitaceae.